AUAUUGGGCAAUGGAUGCAAGUCUGACCCAGCCAUGCCGCGUGCCGGAAGAAGGCCCUCAGGGUUGUAAACGGCUUUUAUUCGGGAAGAAGAGCAGGGAUGCGUCCUUGUGUGACGGUACCGAAUGAAUAAGCACCGGCUAACUCCGUGCCAGCAGCCGCGGUAAUACGGAGGGUGCGAGCGUUGUCCGGAUUUAUUGGGUUUAAAGGGUGCGUAGGUGGCUUUAUAAGUCAGUGGUGAAAUACAGCCGCUCAACGGUUGAGGUGCCAUUGAUACUGUAGAGCUUGAAACAAUUGGAGGCUGCCGGAAUGGAUGGUGUAGCGGUGAAAUGCAUAGAUAUCAUCCAGAACACCGAUUGCGAAGGCAGGUGGCUACGUUUGAUUUGACACUGAGGCACGAAAGCAUGGGGAGCAAACAGG
This 418-nucleotide ribosomal RNA is filed under the name uncultured bacterium. RNAcentral describes it as "bacterial SSU rRNA". It matches the Rfam family "Bacterial small subunit ribosomal RNA", at positions 361 to 776 of the family's 1533-position model. The record is from RNAcentral.